CAUCCACCUAGCUGCUCAGGUGAAAAUCUCAAAUCCUCCUCCAGUCCUUCCUCCCCAAACCUCUCACGCAGCCCUCUGCCUUCCUAGGACGCUGAGCACCCCUCACUCCCAGUGCCAGCUGGGGUGCUGUCUGAGUGGCUGCCUCCCACUUGGCAUGAAGUGUGACCUCUUGCCCAGCACAGUGACUCACACCUGUAAUCCCAGCACUUUGGGAGGCCAAGGGGGGCAGAUCGCUUGAGGCCAGAAGUGUGGGACCAGCCUGGCCAAUAUGGUGAAACUAAAAUACAACAAUUAGCCAGGCAUGGUAAUGCGUGCCUAUAAUCCCAGCUACCCAGGAGGCUGAGGCAGGAAAAUUGCUUGAACCUGGGAGGCGGAGGUUGCAGUGAGCCAAAGUCACGCCACUGCACUCCAGCCUGGGCAAUAGAGCGAGACUCUGUCGCAAGUUAAAAAAAAAAAAAAAAGAAGUGUGACCUCUCUAAGGCAAGGCAGUGUCCCACUCUGAUUCACUUCUGUGUGCAAAACAGGACCUGCACCCUGAAGGCACUCACUCAGGGAUGCUGCUGGGAUGGGUGGAUGCACAGAGCCUCUGGCAAAAGCAAUGGAUGUCACUGUCACAGUGCAUCACCUUUGCACACUAGAGAGAGAGGUUCCACCUGCAGGCCCUGCAGGAGGGAGAUGCGGUGCUGAGAAAGGACCUUUGGAGGGGCCCCGUAGGCAAGGAAGCAAAAAGCUGGGCCCUUGCCAAGCAGGUCCAAGGAAAUGAAUUCUGCCAAUAACCUCAGUGGACCUGGAAAUGGAUUCUGCCCUGGUUGAGCCUCAGAUGAGGAUGCAGCCCAGCUCCUUAGCUUGAGACCCUAAGCAGAGGACCUGCUAAAAUGUGCUCAACUCCUAGCUUGCCAAAACUGGGUUAAAUGUGUGUGUUGUUUUAAGCUUCUAAGUUUUUAGUUAUUGCCUAUGAAAGUGUUAAAAUAUAAGACAAUAACGUAGGUCCCCUCCCCAUCACACACUUUCUUCUUUCUGGCAUUCGUCACAACUAUACUUGUUGAUUUAAAAUCUGCCUCUUGGCUGGGUGUGGUGGCUCAGGAGUUCCAGACCAGCCUGGCCAACAUGUUGAAACCCCAUCUCCACUAAAAAUACAAAAAUUAGCUAGGCAUGGUGGUGCAUGCCUGUAAUCCCAGCUACUCGGGAGGCCGAGGCAGGAGAAUUACUUGAACCCAGGAGGCAGACGUUGCAGUGAGCCGAGAUUGCACCAUUGCACUCCAGCCUGAGUAACAAGAACAAAACUUUGUCUCCAAAAAAAAAAAACAAAUUGUCUUUUGCAUGAUGGCCCCGUGAGAAGAAAAAUGGAAACUCUUACUCAUAACAGUGCCCCAAAUGCCCAGCACGGUGAAGUUCUAGGGCAGUUGGUCGAUGGUGGACGCUGCUGGUUAGAGGGCCCAAUUGGCCCUGCCAGCUGCCUUCUCCCUGGUCACGUUCCAUUAUAGAGAACAGAAUAGUUUCUUGCCUUUCCAGAGUCCCUCUUAGUGGGGAUUGGCCAAGCAACAUUGUCCUGCCCAGGGAGACAUAAGUGGAAGUUGGCUGAGAGGUUUCUAGCCAUGGUGUGCUGGGGCAGUUUGAAUCAGAACAUGAGAGCUGACCGUCCAUUGCUCGGGAAUUCUGCAAGUUGGUGUUCAACGCAUUCAGUACUUAAAAAUAUUAAAUAAUAUAAACUUGCAAAUUAAAAAAUGCAUUAGACCGGGUGUAGUAGUCCACAUCUGUAAUCCCAACACAUUGGAAGGCUGAGGCAGGAAGAUCACUUGAGCCCAGGAGUUCAAGACCAGCCUAGGCAAAAAAGGAAGACCCUGUCUCUACAAAAAAUUUUAAAAUUAGCUAGGCAUGGUGGUAUGUGCGUGCAAUCCUAGCCGCUCAGGAGGCUGAGGUGGGAGGAUCGCUUGAGCCAUCUGUUCAAGGCUCCAAUGAGCUAUGAUAGUGCCACUGCACUUCAGCCUGGGUGACAGAGCGAGACCCUGUCUCAGAAAUAAAUAAACAUAUUUUAUAUAUUAAUAUAUACAUUUAUGUAUAUAAUUAUAUAUUUAUACAUAAAUAUAUUUAUUUAUUUAUUUAUUUAUUUUGAGAUGGAGUUUCACUCUUGUUGCCCAGGCUGGAGUGCAAUGACACGAUCUGGGCUCACCGCGACCUCCACCUCCCAGGUUCAAGUGAUUUUCCUGCCUCAGUCUCUUGAGUAGCUGGGAUUACAGGCAUGCACCACCACACCUGGCUAAUUUUGUAUUUUUAGUAGAGACGGGGUUUCUCCAUGUUGGUCAGGCUGGUCUCAAGCGCCCAACCUCAGGUGAUCUGCCCACCUUGGCCUCCCAAACUGCUGGGAUUACAGGUGUAAGCCACCGCGCCUAGCCUAUAUUAGAUAUUUAUAUAAUUAUAUAUAUAAAUUUUAUAUAAUUGUAUGUAAAUAUAAAUAUAAAACAAAGAUAAUCCUCAAAAUGCAUUAUUUCCUGGUUAUUUUACUCUUACUAUGUUCUUGAAGAUUUGCAUCUUCCGCGUCAGUAGGUGGAAAACCUAAAUCAUGGUGUGCUGCUGACUUCUCUCUCCAACGCCGUAGUCAGCAAUGUCAUGGUGGCAGCUUGAAAUCAGACAUAGUAGAACUUAUACAGAAGUUGGCAACUGUUAAAAAUCAGGACCUUCCCUCUCCCUCCUCUCCCCCAAAAUACCAGCACACCCCUGAUUUUGAGGGAAGUUUUUGCUCUCUUGGAAAAGGAAAAGACACAUCAG
RNAcentral lists this long non-coding RNA (2766 nucleotides) under Pongo abelii (Sumatran orangutan). Its description in RNAcentral is "lncRNA (ENSPPYG00000033373.1)". The record is from RNAcentral. Lineage: Eukaryota; Metazoa; Chordata; Mammalia; Primates; Hominidae.